GAUUUGGAGUUCUUUUGUAUCUUCUUCGUUCGAGUGUGAGAACGGGAGACCGCAGGAUGACAAUGUUUACAAUUAGGGCCAGCCCGAGAAGGUCUCACUAUACUCAUUGGCUCAAUGGACAAGCACAGACUGCUAUCAUCUACCUCAUCAUCAUCCUUUCCUACAUUUAGUGGUUCACACUUCACAGUCAGAGAAAUCCUGCAAGGAGUGUCUUCUAACUACAGUUUUUUUUCCGAAUGAUAUAUGUAGCUACUAAUACCUUUUUGCACAAGGUGUGAGCUGGUGUCAUUUCCAUAGGUGGUGAUCUAGAAGGUUGGGAAGAUCCAAUUUUAUCUCUCACGAUAUUUACAUAUUCCCUUAACCAGUGGGGCAUAAUCCCAUUUUGGAACUAAAAUUUGUGUUGAGCGGCAAUUGGAUUAUUUGCAAAACACCGCGUUAAUAUAAAGAAAUACACAACUGCCCCUCGUUCCCCCAAACCCUUUUACAAAUUCUAGGACCGGAAGAGUGCCCAUCUAUGGUGUCUCAUCCUCCUCUGACGGGAUGCAGCAUAGCCAGACCCAGGUUGUUCAUCGUGAAAUACCUUCUAGAAAAUGGAUUGCCAGCGACCCUUGACAAACUCCUUUUCCGAUAAACACUUGGCAGAAAUCUUACCCUACGUGCAAUUCCCAACUGAAGGGGUAUGCGCGGCCACAACAUACGUGUCAUGCUACCUCUUCAUUGUUGACUGUUGCUUCAUCCAUUACCUUUGUAAGCUCUAGGACCACCCGUAUUUCGCUUCAUCAAUAAAAGCUACUCCCGGUCUCGGCCUAGGACAGGAAAACACUGCAAUGUUUACUAAGUCGGGAGUAAGCAUUGCACCCUCAUGUCAUGCCGUUCCCAAGUUUAGCAGCCAGAACCACCAUGUUUAGUCCCGACUCAGCACUCUUCUUCCUGUCCACCACUACUGACUACUAGGUUGUACAUGAAUUUUGCAAUGGUGCAUCCUCUUGAAAAGGCACCGGACACUGGAUAUAGAUGUUCGUUUCUUCUUCUUCUCUUGAAACAAGGGCUCAAGCGUUCCCACUUUUCAUUUAUUAAAAAAAUAAUAUAAAAGCAUCCGAGAGGCACAAGAAACAACAAAAAACGGUGUACUCUUGCAAACGUUACAUGAUCCAUGUGUUCCGCACCAGUGAUAAGCCAUUUACUGGCCUCAGUUUUGAUCUAAUUAGCAAAUAUGACAAGGGGC
RNAcentral lists this long non-coding RNA (1225 nucleotides) under Hordeum vulgare. Its description in RNAcentral is "long non-coding RNA (HVUL_LNC014638)". The record is from RNAcentral. Lineage: Eukaryota; Viridiplantae; Streptophyta; Magnoliopsida; Poales; Poaceae.